UUUAGGAACAAAGGGAAAUUUUAAAAAUUAUAGAUUCAAAUUUUCAACACGAAAACGAAGCAGCUGCUUUUCAAUACUAAAUAAUUCUUGCAAUCUACUAAGUAUUAGAUGUGAUAGCAAUCUUUUUUUUCUUUUAAACAACUUAAGAUUGUGAUUUCUGAAAAUUAGUGUUACGCAGUGCUAAAAAGGCUUUAAGACAUAAAAUAUUUUUAGAAACAAAGGGGAGUUUAAAAAUUAUAGAUUCAAAUUUUCAACACAAAAACUAAGUAGCUGCUUUUCAAUAGAUUGUGAUUUCUGAAAAUUAGUGCUACGCAGUGCUAAGAAGGCUUUAAGAAAUAGUACCCAUAAAAUAUUUUUAGGAAAAAAGGGAAAUUUUAAAAUUAUAGAUUAAAAUUUUCAGCACAAAAACUAAGUAACUAUUUUUCAAUACUAAAUAAUUCUUGCAAUCUACUAAGUAUUAGAUGGGAUAGCAACAGAGCACAACUUAUAUAUCAAAAUUAGGAAUGAAUUUUUUUCGGGAAAGGAAAUAGGCAAGAAUAGUAGGAAAAGAAAAAGAAAGGAAUAAAGGAAAAAAAAAAAAACUAAACAGGCUUGCCGAAAACCCCAAAAAGGUAAGGCUCAGUUAAGUCGGCAAAAAUGAUCAUAAGCACAGGAUAGCAAUAGGACCAAUACAUUACCGUAGGAAGAAGAUGUAUGCAACGACGAAGUAUCAGAACAGUAGGAACCGGUUGCCUAUGAAUAGGACGUCCAAACUUCCGCUUGUUUAAAACCAUCAUUUUCCACGUUUUUCUCUACUUAUCAUCGUUGCCUCAAAGAAAAGAUACAAAAAGCAAGAAACAGAUAGAAAUAAACAAAACCAAGUAGAAUUAAUAAAACAACAAUGUAUCGAAGUAGUCAACUCCAUCUAAAGUUGCCACAUUUAAUCACAAACAAAGAUAGGAAUAGCAUAUUUGAGUACAAUCAAUUAUCUGUAAAGCUGAGUCCAUCCAAAGCUACUGCAUUUAGUGCCAAACAAAGAUACGAAAACCAGAUUUGAGUACAAAGGAACAUAUGUAAAACUGCUUCCCCACAAUAAUGCCAAACAAAGAUAUGAAAACCAGAUUUGAGUACAAAGGAAUAUCUGUAAAACAGCUUCCCCACAAAUUAUCCAACAACCAAUCAGAAAUAAAAUAUCAGAGGAUCAUAUUUGGGCUACCAACUAAAUUAUAGAGUAGUAGAACAGCGAGUUGAUAAUGAUAGUUACCUGUGGAGUCAUCUAUUAUGCAUGAUUUAAGUGAUGCAUGGUAAGAUUGAUCUAAUGGCUAAGAAGGUUAUAACACAUGAACAGUUUCAUACUUUUAAAAACAUUCUACUUCUCAUGCAAUAAGAUCAGCCAACAUCCUGUAAUCAGCAAUCCUAAUUGAACAACUAUAACACAUUCAUAUUGAUUAAGGAUCACAUAUCGGCAACUGGCUGCCCACAGACGGACCAUCCGAACUUUCCUUAUCAUUAGGGUUAGUCUAGUACAGUCCAGGAUAUCAGUAUUGAACCAUCUUUUAUCAACAUAGAAAGCAGAGCUAUUGACUUGAAAAAAUCCAACUCUAGAGAAUUAUUUAGAAAAGGCAGCAUAUUCACAUCAUCUGAAAUAAAAAAAUAUAUAUCAAUGCGAGCAACUGGUUGCCCACAGACGGACCAUCCGAAGUUUCCUCGUCAUUAGGGUCAAUAAUAAGAUCAAAAAAUUAACCGAAGUUAGUAUAAGGUGGAGUUACUCUGAAGAAGUCAUAGAAGAAAUCCUUGGAAAAGCAAUAGGGGCAUGGAAAGUUUCAGUUUUGAUCAAGAAAAGUAAACCAAAAUUAGUAUAAGGUGGAGUUACUUUGAAGAACUCAUAGAAGAAAUCCUUGAUAAAAGCAAUUGGGCAUGGAAAGCUUCAGUUUUUCAGUAGCCACAGCCCACAUCUCUGCCUUAGAAUUUAGUAAAACCUGAAUAUUUAUAUUGUUAUCCCUAUCUAUAGAUGCAGAGAGCUUCAAUUGAUUAUAUAAUGUCAAGUUUGUCUCUGGGGAAGAGCUUCAAUUGAUUUUGGAGCUUCAAUUUAACAGGAUAAUCUACAUAAGUAACCUUCCUUUUGUGUCAAAUAAUUUAAGGCACAUUCUAUGUAAAUAAUACCAUCCACACAAAAAAAACAGUAUCUAAGGCAUAUAUAAAAUAAACUUCGUAAGAAUUUUCAGACAUCUUUCAAUUUUCAGACAUCUUUCCAGUCAAGUAAUUUUCUAAUACCUUCACAUUUGUCAUGUUAGUCCCAGUUACACUUGCAGAGAGAGUCAAAUAAUUAUAGACUGAGAAAUGGAAAUUUGGCGAAUACUUCGAUGUUAUGUUGGAAAACAGCUAAUAUGAUAGGAGCUUACAAAUUUGUGGCUCAUGGACUAAAAGCCUACAAUCAACCUUAAGAUAUAGGUCGAGGAAGGGACAAUGGAAACCAAGGGUUGGUUGCCGAGAAAUUAGUCCACCCAAAACUCCUUUUUUCCAUUUUUUCCCAUCCUUACCACCUCAAAAGCCAGCAGGAGCAAAAUCUUAAAG
Molecule: long non-coding RNA, 2553 nt
Filed under: Ananas comosus (pineapple)
Lineage: Eukaryota; Viridiplantae; Streptophyta; Magnoliopsida; Poales; Bromeliaceae
Description: long non-coding RNA (ACOM_LNC010242)
Source: RNAcentral